AGUCGAGCGGGCACCUUCGGGUGUCAGCGGCAGACGGGUGAGUAACACGUGGGAACGUACCCUUCGGUUCGGAAUAACGCUGGGAAACUAGCGCUAAUACCGGAUACGCCCUUAUGGGGAAAGGUUUACUGCCGAAGGAUCGGCCCGCGUCUGAUUAGCUAGUUGGUGGGGUAAUGGCCUACCAAGGCGACGAUCAGUAGCUGGUCUGAGAGGAUGAUCAGCCACACUGGGACUGAGACACGGCCCAGACUCCUACGGGAGGCAGCAGUGGGGAAUAUUGGACAAUGGGCGCAAGCCUGAUCCAGCCAUGCCGCGUGAGUGAUGAAGGCCUUAGGGUUGUAAAGCUCUUUUGUCC
RNAcentral lists this ribosomal RNA (355 nucleotides) under uncultured Methylobacterium sp. RNAcentral's name for it is "bacterial SSU rRNA". It matches the Rfam family "Bacterial small subunit ribosomal RNA", at positions 60 to 441 of the family's 1533-position model. The record is from RNAcentral. Lineage: Bacteria; Pseudomonadati; Pseudomonadota; Alphaproteobacteria; Hyphomicrobiales; Methylobacteriaceae.